This 497-nucleotide ribosomal RNA is filed under the name uncultured bacterium. RNAcentral's name for it is "partial 16S ribosomal RNA". It matches the Rfam family "Bacterial small subunit ribosomal RNA", at positions 28 to 507 of the family's 1533-position model. The record is from RNAcentral.
GAUGAACGCUGGCGGCGUGCCUAAUACAUGCCAGUCGAGCGAACAGACGAGGAGCUUGCUCCUCUGACGUUAGCGGCGGACGGGUGAGUAACACGUGGAUAACCUACCUAUAAGACUGGGAUAACUUCGGGAAACCGGAGCUAAUACCGGAUAAUAUAUUGAACCGCUUGGUUCAAUAGUGAAAGACGGUUUUGCUGUCACUUAUAGAUGGAUCCGCGCCGCAUUAGCUAGUUGGUAAGGUAACGGCUUACCAAGGCAACGAUGCGUAGCCGACCUGAGAGGGUGAUCGGCCACACUGGAACUGAGACACGGUCCAGACUCCUACGGGAGGCAGCAGUAGGGAAUCUUCCGCAAUGGGCGAAAGCCUGACGGAGCAACGCCGCGUGAGUGAUGAAGGUCUUCGGAUCGUAAAACUCUGUUAUUAGGGAAGAACAAAUGUGUAAGUAACUAUGCACGUCUUGACGGUACCUAAUCAGAAAGCCACGGCUAACUACGUG